CUAGCGGCGGACGGGUGAGUAACGCGUGGGAACGUGCCCUUCUCUACGGAAUAGUCCCGGGAAACUGGGUUUAAUACCGUAUACGCCCUUCGGGGGAAAGAUUUAUCGGAGAAGGAUCGGCCCGCGUUAGAUUAGGUAGUUGGUGGGGUAAUGGCCUACCAAGCCUACGAUCUAUAGCUGGUUUGAGAGGAUGAUCAGCCACACUGGGACUGAGACACGGCCCAGACUCCUACGGGAGGCAGCAGUGGGGAAUCUUAGACAAUGGGGGCAACCCUGAUCUAGCCAUGCCGCGUGAGUGAUGAAGGCCUUAGGGUCGUAAAGCUCUUUCGCUGGGGAAGAUAAUGACUGUACCCAGUAAAGAAACCCCGGCUAACUCCGUGCCAGCAGCCGCGGUAAUACGGAGGGGGUUAGCGUUGUUCGGAAUUACUGGGCGUAAAGCGCGCGUAGGCGGAUUGGAAAGUUGGGGGUGAAAUCCCGGGGCUCAACCUCGGAACUGCCUCCAAAACUCCCAGUCUUGAGUUCGAGAGAGGUGAGUGGAACUCCGAGUGUAGAGGUGAAAUUCGUAGAUAUUCGGAAGAACACCAGUGGCGAAGGCGGCUCACUGGCUCGAUACUGACGCUGAGGUGCGAAAGUGUGGGGAGCAAACAGGAUUAGAUACCCUGGUAGUCCACACCGUAGACGAUGAAUGCCAGUCGUCGGCAAGCAUGCUUGUCGGUGACACACCUAACGGAUUAAGCAUUCCGCCUGGGGGAGUACGGUCGCAAGAUUAAAACUCAAAGAAAUUGACGGGGGCCCGCACAAGCGGUGGAGCGUGUGGUUUAAUUCGAAACAACGCGCAGAACCUUAACCGACCCUUUGACAUCCUCGGACCGCCAGAGAGAUCUGGUUUUGCACUUCCGGUGACCGAGUGACAGGUGCUGCAUGGCUGUGUCAGCUCGUGU
This 941-nucleotide ribosomal RNA is filed under the name Roseobacter sp. DEH116. RNAcentral describes it as "bacterial SSU rRNA". It matches the Rfam family "Bacterial small subunit ribosomal RNA", at positions 92 to 1065 of the family's 1533-position model. Lineage: Bacteria; Pseudomonadati; Pseudomonadota; Alphaproteobacteria; Rhodobacterales; Roseobacteraceae. The record is from RNAcentral.